GCCGGGAUGGCGGAAUUGGCAGACGCAGCGGACUUAAAAUCCGCUGGAGGUUAACUCCGUGCCGGUUCAAGUCCGGCUCUCGGCA
RNAcentral lists this transfer RNA (85 nucleotides) under Bacillota bacterium. Its description in RNAcentral is "Firmicutes bacterium (marine metagenome) tRNA-Leu". It matches the Rfam family "tRNA". Rfam says of the family: Transfer RNA (tRNA) molecules are approximately 80 nucleotides in length. The record is from RNAcentral. Lineage: Bacteria; Bacillati; Bacillota. RNAcentral also lists the same sequence under 4 other names.